RNA transcript from Alligator sinensis (Chinese alligator), 1474 nucleotides. It is a transcript of the gene named leiomodin-2-like, with no coding region annotated. The record is from RefSeq and is a predicted model, not a curated record. Lineage: Eukaryota; Metazoa; Chordata; Crocodylia; Alligatoridae. The transcript is spliced from 3 exons.
AGCUCUGGAUGAAGUGGAUGUCCCCGCUGAAGCCGCCCAGAAGUCGGCAGCUGCCUACUGAGGGCAACGAGCAGGCGCCGCCCCCAUCACCACCACUGCCGCCGCUGCCGCUGCCACCCCCCAGACCGGAUGAGAAGAGUCAGGUGUGCGGCGGGGCUUUGGCCGGGGGCGCGGGCUCCCGCACCGACUGCAGCUCCGAGCAGGAGGGCACCAGGUGCCAGGGGUGUCCCGGCGCGCUCGGAGAGGACAGGGAAGGGCUCGGCGACAGGACACGGGAAGGAGGCGAGCAGCGGGGCUCGGAGAGCCACUCGAGUUGAGACAGGGCCUCGCUUAGAGUAGAGGCAUGGAGCCAUCACCAAUAGCUGAACUGGUGCAACCGUGAACACGCACAGAUUUGUUAAAAACAGAAUUUCUUAUUGGUGCCAACAGCCUGAAUCCAUUGGUGUUUAAGAGGAGCUCUGGUAUUCUAGUGCAUUCUUUUACCUCUGCUUCUGUUGCAUUGCAAGCUGUGCUAGAGAAGACAUAGGAAAUUCGUUUUACCCAAUCAGCAAUUGUAACAAUGGACUACAAACCUACAGAGCAAGCCAGUUUGUUGGAAAACAGGAGUUCCUGCAGCGCAGCACUUGACACAGACUAUCCAGAGGGCAGAGAUUCAAGAGGGUGAAUAAAUCUGAAACAAUCUCCAGAAGGGGAAUCCUAACCUAAAAUUCUAAUUUGAAAAUAUUAGCCAUUUAAAAAGCAGAUUGCCCUUUCUCAUUUGAGCAGUGUAUCACAACUGGACACUUCAAAACGUGUGUACUGUACUACUAAAAAAAUCUAAUACUUGUCUUUGUUAGAGUUGUUAAUUUUUACCAUUUCUGAAAAAUAUCUGCAGCAAAUGUGUAUGAACUUGAAAUUAUCUUACAUUCAGUAUAUCUCAGGUGGUUGAAAUAAUUGCUUUAUAAGGCUCACCUAAUACUGCCUCUUAAUUUUUUUUUCUCUGAACUCCCUUCCCCAUCUUUAAUUUACACUGGCACCAUUGAAAACAGGCAUAACAGUCAUACGUAUCUAGGUCCUUACCCAUACUAAGAGUUGACCUAAAUUAUUCUUCCAUUUACAUCCCAGUAGCAUACUAGCAUCCAGUACAUACAUCUGAGUGGUGUAUCUGGCAUCCUAAGUCUCAGGUAUGAUUGUUUAUAGUCUGGUGCCAAUGAGAAUCAGAUUAGAUGGUCUAUGGUGUAACGAUACUCCAUUUUCUUCAGUGGCUUAUUUUCCAUUUCUCUCCCCACACAUCCUAGAGAAUAUGAUUGAAGUAAUACUAUGCUACAAUAACACACUAUGGUAAGGUCAUGCCUUUCAUUGUAUCAGGAAAAUCUGCCGCUAUCUGUUCUAUUUUCCCCCUUCUUAAUAGUCUCAGUUACAUGAAUUAACAUGAAACGUUUGUAAAUUCAUGUUAAAGUGUUUGAGAUCUCAUCUAAAUAAAUUUUUAUAUAUA